This 217-nucleotide ribosomal RNA is filed under the name uncultured bacterium. Its description in RNAcentral is "partial 16S ribosomal RNA". It matches the Rfam family "Bacterial small subunit ribosomal RNA", at positions 15 to 224 of the family's 1533-position model. The record is from RNAcentral.
GAUCCUGGCUCAGGAUGAACGCUAGCUACAGGCUUAACACAUGCAAGUCGAGGGGCAGCAUGGUCUUAGCUUGCUAAGGCUGAUGGCGACCGGCGCACGGGUGAGUAACACGUAUCCAACCUGCCGUCUACUCUUGGCCAGCCUUCUGAAAGGAAGAUUAAUCCAGGAUGGGAUCAUGAGUUCACAUGUCCGCAUGAUUAAGGUAUUUCGUUCGACG